CCUACGGGGGGCUGCAGUGGGGAAUAUUGGGCAAUGGGCGCAAGCCUGACCCAGCAACGCCGCGUGAGGGAUGAAGGCCUUCGGGUUGUAAACCUCUUUCAGCAGGGACGAAGCGAAAGUGACGGUACCUGCAGAAGAAGCACCGGCUAACUACGUGCCAGCAGCCGCGGUAAUACGUAGGGUGCAAGCGUUGUCCGGAUUUAUUGGGCGUAAAGAGCUCGUAGGCGGUUCGGCACGUCGGAUGUGAAAACUCGGGGCUUAACCCCGAGCCUGCAUUCGAUACGGCCGGACUCGAGUGUGGUAGGGGAGACUGGAAUUCCUGGUGUAGCGGUGGAAUGCGCAGAUAUCAGGAGGAACACCGAUGGCGAAGGCAGGUCUCUGGGCCAUUACUGACGCUGAGGAGCGAAAGCGUGGGGAGCGAACAGGAUUAGAUACCCUAGUAGUC
Molecule: ribosomal RNA, 445 nt
Filed under: uncultured bacterium
Lineage: Bacteria
Description: bacterial SSU rRNA
Rfam family: Bacterial small subunit ribosomal RNA
Source: RNAcentral